Non-coding RNA from Styela clava, 882 nucleotides. The record is from RefSeq and is a predicted model, not a curated record. NCBI's taxonomy places the organism in Eukaryota, Metazoa, Chordata, Ascidiacea, Stolidobranchia, Styelidae.
UAAUCAAGAAAAGCAUGCAGAACGGAAAAAGCAAGCAUGCUGAUUUUCAGGUUUCUGAAUCUUGCGAGAUUUGACGGAGCGCCUUCGCGAUGAAUCGUAACUGAAAAAGCGGAAACGGUGAUUACUCGGCGCCAAGACGUCGCCGGGCCAUUAAUACCGCACUUAUCAAACACCAAUAUGACGGCGGGAGAGAAAUUGCGCUAUAAACCAAUGUAACUUCGCCUUCGGCAAUGCGAUUGAGACGGUAGGAAAACAACAAGAUGAAAUUUCCCGCGGACCGGCAAAAAAGUUUCGCGGACCGGCGGUUGGGAACCACUGGUCUACUCUAUAGAGAAGGUUAAUCGUUUUCAGUCCUCAUAUAAACUGUAUAAGCGUGAUUAGAAUAGGAAUAGCGAAAAUGAAAAGCUGCAGCUUACUGAUAAACGCCGUUAUUUGAGCUAAUAUUAGAACAGACCAGACAGACUCGCAGCUAAAGCAGUAGUAUCAAACUGAGAUAUCUCAAGAAAUAGCAGUUGAUAUAUUUGCAUUCUCACUAUCUGUGAUAACUUGGAAAUGCAACUCAAUGUAUCUAUUUGUUUAUACAGCUGCAGUCAAGCGAUGAUUGUUGUUGGGGUUUAAAUCUGACGCCAAUCAUUGCUGUGUUGUAGAUAUAGUGUGAUAUGGGAGAAAGACAUGAUACAAUGAAAACGUUUGUGACGCAUGGAACUGCAUGAAAAAUAAAGCUUCAUUUAGAAAUACCUUUGAUAGAAAUUUCAAGUGUGGAAUAAGGACAGAUCGCAUGCUGUACAGGAACGAACUAAUUUUUACAACGUACCCAUGAGAAUCGUACUUCAGAUCUUCGUAUAAGACGUACAAAACAUUUGACUUCUCUUUGCUCAUAGC